CCUUUCACCUAAGGCAAUGGUGAAGUGGAAACAGGAUUAUCACUCCCUUGUUUUUCAGAAUUUGUGGUCAGAUAUAAAUAAAUUUGUAAUUCCUAAUAAAGUCAAAGAAACUCACUUUAAAAUAAUAAACAGAUACUAUCCAUGUAACAAUUUUAUUAGUAAAUUUAAAGAAGGGUUUUCGCCAUUAUGUAGUUUUUGUAAAGAAGAAACAGAAACAAUUGUACACUUAUUCUUCAGUUGUAAUUAUACCAAAUUAUUUUGGUCCCAAGUUUCUAUGUUUCUUUUUGACUUGUUUUACAAGUUUGUCACUAUAACUGAUGUAAUGGUCUUGUUUAUGGAUUGUGAUACUGGUUUAAUGGAAUUGGAUAAUAUAAUUAAACUUCUUAUACUACUAGGGAAAUAUCAUAUACAUAAAGCAAAAUGUAUAUCGACUGUACCAAAUGGUAGACUAUUUUCCACUGAUUUGAAGAUUUUUUUAUGACUCUCUAACAUCAAUACAGAACAAUUGAAAAGCUGUUAAGACAUCUAAGCUGUUGAAAAGGAUACUUAAUGUAAUAGAAACGUGACUGUUUUGUGAUAUAAGAUACAGAAUUUUGAUUUAAUUGUUUUAUAUAUUCAAAUGUCUUUGUAUUCCCCUACUGUUGUUUCAAUAAAAAAAAAAUAAAAAAAACAUUAGACAAGCACCUGAUGUCUAAAUAAAACAUUGCUCACCAUUUGAUUUAAAGCACAGAGCAUGUCCAUGUUUCACUAACCACACCCACAUUAUUAAAACACAACAGAACUUCACUCUUCGCAUUCAUUCAUGCAUCAGCGACACUUCAUUUGUUUUAUAAAACCACAUUGAGCAUAACUUAUAAAUCAACAAUCAAUAAAACAACAAGGAAAAUCUAACAAAUCACUUUAAUAGUAAACAAACACUCUGAUCUUUAAAGUGGACUUCAGUUAAGAUGGAGGAGAAGCAAAUGCUGCUCAUGAUGCUCAUCACAGUUUCAGGUGGAUUUGCUGAUAAAAUUGAACCAAAAGAUGGAAAUACUAAUGUAAUCAAAGAAGAAGGAGAGUCUGUGACACUGAGCUGCACAUAUGAAACUAACAGCAAUAAUAUUUGGCUUUUCUGGUACAGACAGUAUCCAAACAGAGAACCAGAAUAUUUACUGUAUAAAGGUGCUCGAUCACGGAGCAGUGAGGAAGAUAUACCAGACGGUUUUCAGUCGAAAACAUCCCAAACAUCCACUGAACUCACUAUUAACAGUGUGACUCUGUCAGAUUCAGCUCUCUAUUAUUGUGCUCUUGAAGUAGCAGCCCAGUGAUACAAAGUGCCUGAGAAGCUUUACAAAAACUCAUACAAAAUUAAUGCUUUGAAGUGUCUUUAAUCAAUCUGUAUCAUGUUACUGUAAACCACAAACAGUGAAUGUGGUGACAGCUGUGAAUUUGGGAGGUUACAUAAGGGCAUGUGAAUAAAA
Ctenopharyngodon idella (grass carp) is the source of this 1460-nucleotide non-coding RNA. Lineage: Eukaryota; Metazoa; Chordata; Actinopteri; Cypriniformes; Xenocyprididae. The record is from the annotation of a RefSeq genome assembly.